This 506-nucleotide long non-coding RNA is filed under the name Homo sapiens (human). RNAcentral's name for it is "HSALNT0312113". The record is from RNAcentral. Lineage: Eukaryota; Metazoa; Chordata; Mammalia; Primates; Hominidae.
CGACGCAGAAGACGGGUGAUUUCUGCAUUUGCAUCUGAGUAAAAAGAAAGAAUGGACUAAAACAGAGGAAGAAAAUCCAGAAAAGGAGGACUCCAAUCCAGAUUAAAGGAAUUUCCAAAAUGGUGGCUGAGACAAAACCUGGGGUUCAAGUCAUGUUACAGAGAUGGUGUUCCAGAUUAGUGCAGAAUAGUGGGCUCAAGAAGAAAUGCCUUCAAGAAAAGAUUGAAACCAACACACUACAAGUUUGACAUUGGAAAAGUUGAAUUGAAGAGUUGUUGGAAGGUUCUGAAGACCUCAAAUGGACUGAGCCACACUACCAGCAUCCAGCAUCCAUGGUUCUCCAGUCUGCAGAUGGCCUAUUAUGGGACUUUUCAGUCUUCAUAAUUAUAUGAGAGAAAGAAAAUGAAAAGGAUUUGUAAACUAUAAAUCUCUAAACAGAUGGGAGGAAAGGAAUUGAUGAAACAAUAAAUUUAUUGAUGAAACAAUAAAAAUAAACAUAAAGAACC